Hydra vulgaris (swiftwater hydra) is the source of this 225-nucleotide non-coding RNA. NCBI's taxonomy places the organism in Eukaryota, Metazoa, Cnidaria, Hydrozoa, Anthoathecata, Hydridae. The record is from RefSeq and is a predicted model, not a curated record.
GAAGGGGAAAGGUGGAAAUAUGCUUUAAGAGCACUAAUUUAUAUGGUGUAGUGACAGAGUAUUUUCGAAAAGUUAUAUGGUCUCUAUGGAUAUGAAGGGCAAAGGUGGAAAAAUAUGUUUUAAGAACAGUAAUCUAUAUGGCAUUGAAAAAGAUGUGCCUUCAUAAGAUCUUCUUAUAUUGUACUCAAUGGACCAAAAGAACCCUCGGUUAAUGGAACAUUGUUU